GACAGAGGGUGCAAACGUUGCUCGGAAUUACUGGGCGUAAAGCGCGUGUAGGCGGAUCGGAAAGUCGGGCGUGAAAUCCCCAGGCUCAACCUGGGAACUGCACUCGAAACUCCCGGUCUUGAGUGGUGGAGAGGGAAGUGGAAUUCCUGGUGUAGAGGUGAAAUUCGUAGAUAUCAGGAGGAACACCAGUGGCGAAGGCGGCUUCCUGGACACCAACUGACGCUGAGACGCGAAAGCGUGGGGAGCAAACAGG
This 253-nucleotide ribosomal RNA is filed under the name uncultured bacterium. RNAcentral's name for it is "partial 16S ribosomal RNA". It matches the Rfam family "Bacterial small subunit ribosomal RNA", at positions 524 to 776 of the family's 1533-position model. The record is from RNAcentral.